Molecule: ribosomal RNA, 398 nt
Filed under: uncultured bacterium
Lineage: Bacteria
Description: bacterial SSU rRNA
Rfam family: Bacterial small subunit ribosomal RNA
Source: RNAcentral
AAUCAACGCUGGCGGCGUGCCUCAGACAUGCAAGUCGAACGAUUAAAGCUCUCUUCGGAGAGUGUAUAGAGUGGCGCACGGGUGAGUAACACGUAAGUAAUCUACCUUUGAGUGGGGAAUAACAGUCGGAAACGACUGCUAAUACCGCAUAAUGCAGCGGCAUCGCAAGAUGACAGUUGUUAAAGGAGCAAUCCGCUUAAAGAGGAGCUUGCGGCAGAUUAGCUAGUUGGUAAGGUAAUGGCUUACCAAGGCUACGAUCUGUAUCCGGUCUAAGAGGACGGUCGGACACACUGACACUGAAUAAUGGUCAGACUCCUACGGGAGGCAGCAGUCGGGUAAUUUUGGGUCGAAUGGGCGAAAGCCUGACCCAGCAACGCCGCGUGAAGGAUGAAGUAUUU